This is a long non-coding RNA of Amphiprion ocellaris (clown anemonefish), 1227 nucleotides long. The record is from Ensembl. Lineage: Eukaryota; Metazoa; Chordata; Actinopteri; Pomacentridae.
GAUAGGGAUAAAGUAGUCGAUACAAGGAGGGAAGUAAAAGCCAGCAGAGUGAUGCCGUUCCCUCUCUCUGAGCCCUCCAGCCUCUUCACCAUCAUAGGAAGAGACAAUGGUGAACUCAAGAAGCCUAUUUAUAGUCUGCGAUUGGCCAACACUAGCCCUGUGUUUCUGCUCUGUGGACAUCCGCCUUGGCUAGUUGUGGAGUGUGUGUGCACAUGUGAUCAUGCUCAUGACAGGGAGGGAAACGAGAGGAAGAGAGGGAUGGGUGACUUGACAGAGACCCUGUGGAUUAAUCCAGACGAAGAGGACAGCUUAAGAGGCAAAGCAAGAUCUCAGUCCACUGACUGUCAGCAACCAUGAGCGGUGGAGCGAAUAUCAAAGUCAUAUCUCAAAGCCAGAGUGACGCUGGUGUCAGCUCGAGUCUGCCUUUGCCGAGAAGCAUGAUGCCUCUCUCCAAGAUGGAUCCCAAACAGCAGUACAGCGCCCAUCCCAAUCCCACAGUGCAGUAUCAGCACCCUGCCAAACCACGGCCUUCAUACUCUUCAUCAUCUGCUUCUUCAGGCCCUGCAGAGCUGCUGAGAGGUACAGCUUUCAAGAACCACCUGCUGCAGCAAAAGACCAGCAUGUUUUCUCAUAGGAGCCCAGCGGUUACAGAGAGAACAGAUGGAACGUGCUCCGCAUACAGCAGCCCUCAGGUGCCAAAGCGGCAAGUCCCACGCUCCAAAGACACAUUAGACCUCAACAACAGCAUGCUGACCCAGAAGGCUUUGAGAGACCUUCAGCUGAGGAGAAACACAAACAAGAACUGGACCUUUGGGAAGUAUCGUGUGAGGAACAUGGACAACGUACAAGAAGGCGAAGCCAUCCACCGGCUCUCAGCUAAUGUUCAGUCAGGCCACGGACGAGGACGUCUGCUUCAUACUAAAGCUGCAAAUGGGAAUGACGUCCCAGGGGUGUCUUCAGCUGGGGUGGAAAACUUCACAAAAGAGAUGAGGAGAUUCUCAGACCAUGCCCUGGCAGCUUCUGAAGGAGAAGUGUUCAGUAACAAAUUAAAGCCUUCUAAUCAAGCAUUCAACAUGCCACGCAGAGGGAGCGAGCCAGGAAAAAUCAGCAUGGCUGCUGUUGCUCCUUUCAGGUUCAGGUUUCAGGUUCACGAGGACAUAGAUGCCACUCUGGAUGACCUUAGUGACUGCUCCUCUGACUCCAUGGAGGUCUGUUGUGAUGAUCUAG